This 459-nucleotide ribosomal RNA is filed under the name uncultured bacterium. RNAcentral's name for it is "partial 16S ribosomal RNA". It matches the Rfam family "Bacterial small subunit ribosomal RNA", at positions 338 to 795 of the family's 1533-position model. The record is from RNAcentral.
CCUACGGGAGGCAGCAGUGAGGAAUAUUGGUCAAUGGCCGAGAGGCUGAACCAGCCGAGUCGCGUGAGGGAAGACGGCCCUACGGGUUGUAAACCUCUUUUGUCGGGGAGCAAAGCGAACCACGUGUGGUUCCUUGCGAGUACCCGACGAAAAAGCAUCGGCUAACUCCGUGCCAGCAGCCGCGGUAAUACGGAGGAUGCGAGCGUUAUCCGGAUUUAUUGGGUUUAAAGGGUGCGCAGGCGGAGGUGCAAGUCAGCGGUCAAAUUGCGGGGCUCAACCCCGUACUGCCGUUGAAACUGCAGCCCUUGAGUGCGCGAGAAGUAGGCGGAAUGCGUGGUGUAGCGGUGAAAUGCAUAGAUAUCACGCAGAACUCCGAUUGCGAAGGCAGCAUACCGGCGCGCAACUGACGCUCAUGCACGAAAGCGUGGGUAUCGAACAGGAUUAGAUACCCCGGUAGUC